UUUUAGUGUAAGUGUGCCCCAUACAUUGCGUGGGAUAUACUUACACCAGAAA
This 52-nucleotide microRNA precursor is filed under the name Cricetulus griseus (Chinese hamster). Its description in RNAcentral is "mir-1302". Lineage: Eukaryota; Metazoa; Chordata; Mammalia; Rodentia; Cricetidae. The record is from RNAcentral.